AGUGAACGCUGGCGGUAGGCCUAACACAUGCAAGUCGAACGGCAGCACAGUAAGAGCUUGCUCUUACGGGUGGCGAGUGGCGGACGGGUGAGGAAUACAUCGGAAUCUACUUUUUCGUGGGGGAUAACGUAGGUAAACUUACGCUAAUACCGCAUACGACCUACGGGUGAAAGCAGGGGAUCUUCGGACCUUGCGCGAUUGAAUGAGCCGAUGUCGGAUUAGCUAGUUGGCGGGGUAAAGGCCCACCAAGGCGACGAUCCGUAGCUGGUCUGAGAGGAUGAUCAGCCACACUGGAACUGAGACACGGUCCAGACUCCUACGGGAGGCAGCAGUGGGGAAUAUUGGACAAUGGGCGCAAGCCUGAUCCAGCCAUACCGCGUGGGUGAAGAAGGCCUUCGGGUUGUAAAGCCCUUUUGUUGGGAAAGAAAAGCAGCAGGUUAAUACCCCGCUGUUCUGACGGUACCCAAAGAAUAAGCACCGGCUAACUUCGU
Molecule: ribosomal RNA, 491 nt
Filed under: uncultured bacterium
Lineage: Bacteria
Description: partial 16S ribosomal RNA
Rfam family: Bacterial small subunit ribosomal RNA
Source: RNAcentral